This is a non-coding RNA of Camellia sinensis, 1419 nucleotides long. The record is from RefSeq and is a predicted model, not a curated record. Lineage: Eukaryota; Viridiplantae; Streptophyta; Magnoliopsida; Ericales; Theaceae.
UCUUCUUCUUCUUCUUCUUCCCCAAUGUUGGGUUCGCUUCAAUACCCUUCUCAGCUCUCAAAGAAGCAGCAGAAACAGGAAAGAGAAUGGUUUGCAGUGAGUUUCAAGCCAGAGAAUUUCAUUCCAGGUCUAGUCAUUGGUUUCAUUUUUGGGUUGUUCUUGGACUUAUCAAAACCCAUCAAAAACAAUAAUAAUACUACUCCUAAGAAGGCGGCCAAUCUCUUACUGGGAAAGCAGCAAAGACUGGUCUCAACUAACACUGAUGAAGAGCUUAAAAUGGUACUGUCUCUUAUUGUACCGCCUCAGUUCUUUGUUCACUCUGCUUUUUAUCUUUCUUCAAACAUUAUUGUUGUAGAACUCAAUUAAAUGUUGUAGAAAACAUUGUUUGAUUUUAAUUGUUUUUGCUUUUGGGAGUUUUCUAUCAAUGAAUUUGAUUUAGAGGGUGAUAUGUGAUAGGUGGGUUUGAUCUUUGUACUUAGUAUAAGGAGUUUGGUGUGAUGUAUUUGGAGAUUUUGAUCAAUACUAAGCAGUUUGGUAGGAACUGUUGUUAAAAAAUAUGGAGUAAUCCUAUUAAUAUGCUGCUACUAGAACCCAUUUUUUUGUGUUUCUUCCUUAAUCAGUCAGUGAGUGUAGUUCAGAUUGAUUUUUAAUUGUUAUGUUACAAUAAGUGAUGUUUUGCAUGUAUUUAAACUAUACCUAAAAAAGAAAAAACCCUAAUUGAUCGGAUUGGACUAUUGUUGCUUGGAAGGCCCUUUGUUGAAUUUUGAUUGCAGUGUUGUAAGAUAUAUACGAUUCUAUUCAAUUUCUUAUAUAGUCCUGUAAGCACAUAAAGGUGAAAGAUGUAGAAGACUGCCCCAUAAUUAGUAGCUGGGCUAAGUUUUAUCCAUCGAAUUGCUGAAUGUGAGCUUGUUUUCUUCCAGGAUGAUAAUAGGAAGUGGCUUACGAGCAUCAAUGGAAGGUUUUCUUGAUGCUUUUAUGGAGCAAGUAACCGCCUUUCCGAAUGAUGUUAGAGAAGACCUUAGAUGUUCUAUGGCUUAGGAUGCAGAGACUAUCAAGAACGAGAGCUGAAGCAUCAAUAAAGAUCCAAAAUGUGUGGAACUAUCAAUAAAUGCAGACAAAGACAAAUUGCAAGCACAGCUACCUAAGGAUAUAUCAUUGGAUUUUCAGAAAAAGGUUAUUAUAGCCAAACAUGAGAAGCAAGAAGCCAACUCUGAUAUUUUGUUGGGAAAAAAUGAAACUUACAAGCGUCUUAUGGGUAUGUAAACAGUGAGAAUUAACUGCUUAUGCAAAAAGGGUUAACUGAAUUCUCGUCUUAUGGGUAUGUAAACAGUGGGAAUUAACUGCUUAUGCAAAAAUGGUUAACUGAAUUCUUUCUUCAAGAAGCAUAGUGUAUGGUAGUUGAACCAUGUUUUGAACAUA